This 331-nucleotide long non-coding RNA is filed under the name Elaeis guineensis (African oil palm). RNAcentral describes it as "long non-coding RNA (EGUI_LNC011307)". Lineage: Eukaryota; Viridiplantae; Streptophyta; Magnoliopsida; Arecales; Arecaceae. The record is from RNAcentral.
CUCACCCUCCCAUACACAACAAGCCAAACGAGAAAGAGAGCCUUUUACAUCACCACCACCACCACCUCAGUAGUUUACUAAGUACUCUUUGCAGUCUCAGUUGUGGGGGUUGCUCCUGAAGGAACCCAGAGCCUUGAUGGCCGCCGCUCUUAGGAUGUAUUGGUGGUACGCCGCCGCGGCCAACGCCCCCACGAACGGUCCCACCCAGAAGAUCCACUGCCACACCGCGAAGGCGCAAAAAGAAAACGUUAUAAUUGAGCCGAAAAUUACUGAAAAUGUUUAUAAUUUGUAAAACUCUCUAAAGUUUUCUCAUCAUAAUUUUUAUCACCUG